Molecule: ribosomal RNA, 301 nt
Filed under: uncultured bacterium
Lineage: Bacteria
Description: partial 16S ribosomal RNA
Rfam family: Bacterial small subunit ribosomal RNA
Source: RNAcentral
CAGUAGCCGCGGGAAUACGAAGGGGGCUAGCGUUGUUCGGAUUUACUGGGCGUAAAGCGCACGUAGGCGGACUUUUAAGUCAGGGGUGAAAUCCCGGGGCUCAACCCCGGAACUGCCUUUGAUACUGGAAGUCUUGAGUAUGGUAGAGGUGAGUGAAAUUCCGAGUGUAGAGGUGAAAUUCGUAGAUAUUCGGAGGAACACCAGUGGCGAAGGCGGCUCACUGGACCAUUACUGACGCUGAGGUGCGAAAGCGUGGGGAGCAAACAGGAUUAGAGACCCGCGUAGUCCCUGUCUCUUAUAC